GGGUUUAAUCCAGCUUGAUGUAUCCCUUUAAAAUAAAAUUUUUAAAAAAUAGCAUUUUUUCCAUUAGCUCUUUCAGGAGACUUUCAUAACAACAUCCUGUGGCCUGAGGCCUGCCGCAGAUACACCCUGUUUUGUUUUGUAUUUCCCUGUUCCAGCUCGCCUAGUGUGGAAUUGUUUUUGCAAGGAUCAGCAUGGAAACACACCCAAAUGCUUCUUGCAGUGAGAAGAGAGAAAUUCAUACAUAAUAUCAUUGUAAUUUGUAAUAAUGACUGGAAUGGAAAAUAUUAGGGUUGCAGGAAUUAAUGUAAAGAUUAAUUUACUGUUGUAUCCUUAGCCGAGUCAGACAAGUUCAGAGGGUUUGUCUACAUUUAGAUUCUUUGAAAGUCUGUCAAAAAUGUUCUGCCUGUCUUUCUGUCUGUAUUAUCUAUAUGUCUGUCCAGGGUUGGUGCAAGGAUUUUUGGUUACACAGGCGAAGAUGCAUUUUGUUGCCCCACUCCCCCACCAAAAAAAAUGCAUCUUCACCUUUGUGUCUCGUAGCCCCCUUUUUGAAUUUCUUACCCUCUAGUGCUUCAUAUCCCCUCUCUUGAAUGUCUUACCCUUUUUGCUCCAUUGUUUCUUACACCCCCUUAGUGUGUCUCUUACAACCCCUCUUGUGUAUUUCUUACUUCCCCACCAGCCACUUUCUGUGUCUAAUUAUUCCUCCAGCCCCUUUCCGUCUCUUUCUCCCCCCGACCCAUUUCUGUCUCUAUCUCCCAUACAAACAUCAAUAAAUGGGCAAAAAUACAUAUAUGCACAGACACAAAAUAGAGACACACAAUCACAGAGGCACAUAGAGAUAGUUAUUAAGGCACACAGUGACAAAGAUAUACAGAAAUGCAAUCAAACAAACACAGACAUACAGACACAUAGUCAUACAAUUUACACUUACAGGCAAACUGUCAUAUACAUGCAGACAGACUGUAAUACAGUGACAUACAGACACAGUUAUACAGAGACAUAAAGACACAAGCAGUCACACAUGCAGUCACAAGUACAUAUUUACAUCUCAGGCCAGUGUUUGUGCAUUUGAAUGUAAGCAUAUUUUUGUAUAAAGUAUGGAGUAUGUUUGUGUGAAUGUAGGGGUGUGCCUGUGUAUAGUGUUGACAUUUGAAUGCAGCGGUGUCUUUGUAUGUAGUGUUGGCGUUUGACUGCUGAGAUGUAUGCACAUUUAGACAAACACUGCCAUACACACUGUGAUACACAUACACACAGAUGCACACACUGACAUACAUGCAGAUACACUGACACACAUGCAGAUACACAUACACACAUAUAUAUAUAUAUAUAUAAACUGGUACAUAUACAG
This is a non-coding RNA of Pelobates cultripes (western spadefoot toad), 1345 nucleotides long. The record is from the annotation of a GenBank genome assembly. NCBI's taxonomy places the organism in Eukaryota, Metazoa, Chordata, Amphibia, Anura, Pelobatidae.